RNAcentral lists this ribosomal RNA (510 nucleotides) under Ilybius walsinghami. RNAcentral describes it as "partial 16S ribosomal RNA". The stretch from base 386 to 510 matches the Rfam family "Bacterial large subunit ribosomal RNA", at positions 2473 to 2597 of the family's 2925-position model. Lineage: Eukaryota; Metazoa; Arthropoda; Insecta; Coleoptera; Dytiscidae. The record is from RNAcentral.
GUCCUUUUGAAUUUAAUUUAAGGUUUAACCUGCCCACUGAUUUUUUGAAGGGCCGCAGUAAUUUGACUGUGCAAAGGUAGCAUAAUCAUUAGUUUUUUAAUUAAAAGCUUGUAUGAAGGGUUGGACGAGGUAAAUUCUGUCUCUAAAUAAAUUAAUUUAGAAUUUAAUUUUUAAGUUAAAAAGCUUAAAUAGAUUUAAAAGACGAGAAGACCCUAUAGAUCUUUAUAUUAAAUUUAUUAAUUUUAAUUAAGAUUUUUUUAUUUUUUAAUAUUUUUAAUAUUUUAUUGGGGUAAUAAAAAGAUUAAAUUAAUUCUUUUUUUAUUUUUACAUUUAUAUAUGAAUAUAUGAUCCAAUUUUAUUGAUUAAAAGAUUAAGUUACCUUAGGGAUAACAGCGUAAUUUUUUUAGAGAGUUCAUAUCGAUAAAAAAGUUUGCGACCUCGAUGUUGGAUUAAAAAUUAUUUUAGGUGCAGAAGCUUAAAAUUUUUGGUCUGUUCGACCAUUAAAUUUUU